GACGAACGCUGGCGGCGCGCUUAACACAUGCAAGUCGAACGGAAAGGCCUGCUUUCCCUUGUGGAUUGCGGGUACUCGAGUGGCGAACGGGUGAGUAACACGUGAGUGAUCUGCCCCCAACUUGGGUAUAAGCCUGGGAAACUGGGUCUAAUUCCCGAUAGGACUGCAGGGUGGUGCCUGUGGUGGAAAACGAUUUUCUAGUGGUUGGGGAUGAGCUCGCGGCCUAUCAGCUUGUUGGUGGGGUAAUGGCCUACCAAGGCGGCGACGGGUAGCCGGCCUGAGAGGGUGGACGGCCACAUUGGGACUGAGAUACGGCCCAGACUCCUACGGGAGGCAGCAGUGGGGGAUAUUGCACAAUGGGCGGAAGCCUGAUGCAGCGACGCCGCGUGGGGGAUGACGGCCUUCGGGUUGUAAUCUCCUUUCGACCGCGAGGAAGCCACCUGGUUGGAAGGGUGGUGACGGUAGUGGUAGAAGAAGCACCGGCUAACUACGUG
RNAcentral lists this ribosomal RNA (494 nucleotides) under uncultured bacterium. RNAcentral's name for it is "partial 16S ribosomal RNA". It matches the Rfam family "Bacterial small subunit ribosomal RNA", at positions 28 to 507 of the family's 1533-position model. The record is from RNAcentral.